Molecule: ribosomal RNA, 497 nt
Filed under: uncultured bacterium
Lineage: Bacteria
Description: partial 16S ribosomal RNA
Rfam family: Bacterial small subunit ribosomal RNA
Source: RNAcentral
GACGAACGCUGGCGGCGUGCCUAAUACAUGCAAGUAGAACGCUGAAGAGAGGAGCUUGCUCUUCUUGGAUGAGUUGCGAACGGGUGAGUAACGCGUAGGUAACCUGCCUUGUAGCGGGGGAUAACUAUUGGAAACGAUAGCUAAUACCGCAUAACAAUGGAUGACACAUGUCAUUUAUUUGAAAGGGGCAAUUGCUCCACUACAAGAUGGACCUGCGUUGUAUUAGCUAGUAGGUGAGGUAAUGGCUCACCUAGGCGACGAUACAUAGCCGACCUGAGAGGGUGAUCGGCCACACUGGGACUGAGACACGGCCCAGACUCCUACGGGAGGCAGCAGUAGGGAAGCUUCGGCAAUGGGGGCAACCCUGACCGAGCAACGCCGCGUGAGUGAAGAAGGUUUUCGGAUCGUAAAGCUCGGUUGUAAGUCAAGAACGGGUGUGAGAGUGGAAAGUUCACACUGUGACGGUAGCUUACCAGAAAGGGACGGCUAACUACGUG